GUGUCAGCAGCCGCGGUAAGACAGAGGGUGCAAACGUUGUUCGGAAUCACUGGGCAUAAAGCGCACGUAGGCCGUCCGCUAAGUCUGAUGUGAAAUACCCCGGCUCAACCGGGGAACUGCAUCUGAUACUGGCGGACUCGAGGAUGGUUGGGGUGAGCGGAACUCCAGGUGGAGCGGUGAAAUGCGUAGAUAUCUGGAGGAACACCGGUGGCGAAAGCGGCUCACUGGACCAUCUCUGACGCUGAGGUGCGAAAGCUAGGGGAGCAAACGGGAUUAGAUACCCCCGUAGUCC
RNAcentral lists this ribosomal RNA (292 nucleotides) under uncultured bacterium. RNAcentral describes it as "partial 16S ribosomal RNA". It matches the Rfam family "Bacterial small subunit ribosomal RNA", at positions 505 to 796 of the family's 1533-position model. The record is from RNAcentral.